RNAcentral lists this ribosomal RNA (479 nucleotides) under uncultured bacterium. RNAcentral's name for it is "partial 16S ribosomal RNA". It matches the Rfam family "Bacterial small subunit ribosomal RNA", at positions 28 to 507 of the family's 1533-position model. The record is from RNAcentral.
GAUGAACGCUAGCGGCAGGCCUAACACAUGCAAGUCGAGGGAGGAGCUGUCGGGCUUCGACCGGCGUACGGGUGCGUAACGCGUAUACAAUCUGCCUUUCACAUAGGGAUAGCCCGAAGAAAUUUGGAGUAAUACCUAAUGGUAUAUAGGAGUGGCAUCACAUUUAUAUUAAAGCUGAGGCGGUGAAAGAUGAGUAUGCGCUCUAUGAGCUAGUUGGAGAGGUAACGGCUUACCAAGGCGACGAUGGAUAGGCGACCUGAGAGGGAUAUCCCCCACACUGGAACGGAGACACGGUCCAGACUCCUACGGGAGGGAGCAGUAGGGAAUGUGCCGCAAUGGGCGAAAGUGUGACGUAGCAACGCCGCGUGAGUGAUGAAGGUCUUCGGAUCUUAAAACUUUGUUAUUAGGGAAGAACAUAUGUGUAAGUAACUGUGCACAUCUUGACGGUAACUAAUCAGAAAGCCACGGCUAACUACGUG